AGCUUAUUUUGCGAUGAUCGAAGGCAGCAGCGGCAUCGCUUCAAGCGCUGCCUGAGAUGCUCGACCGCCGGUCGAAGUGAUGGUGUCGUUCAUCGACAUGCAUCGUGGGGAGCAUGGGGUCGAGCCGAUCUGCAACGUCCUGCCGAUUGCCCCG
Molecule: regulatory RNA element, 154 nt
Organism: Palleronia marisminoris
Lineage: Bacteria; Pseudomonadati; Pseudomonadota; Alphaproteobacteria; Rhodobacterales; Roseobacteraceae
Rfam family: ALIL pseudoknot
Source: Rfam